UGUAUUGCAGAUAAAGGCCAAUUUGAUGCAUGAUCUAGGUAAAAAUUAAGUCUGUCCAUUUUUUGCUCACAACAACAUGCCAACUUCUAGAUUUUCUUAGUCCCAAAGAUUUAUUAUGUAUAAAGUGUAUUGUAGUUGUUGAUCAAGUGAUUGUUUUAUGUCUGUUUUAUAUGCAAAAAAAAUAUAAUCAAGUUAUGUGUUUAAAAAUGAAAACAAAUACUUUCGGCUCUAUAUUUUGUGAUUACACAGGUUUGUAGGAAGUCACUUGGAAAAAGUGAUCAAACUAUAUUGUUUAUUUGUUUCUGUAUUUUCAUGUCUAAAUGUAUUAUCUUUCAGGAGAUAUACUUGGAGCAUCAGAAUUAUAAGUGCAUCUACAAGAGCAAUUACAACAAUUCUCCAUCAGGUUGGUGUUUAGAAAUCUCAUAUGCAAAUGUGGGAAGACGAUGCCUCAUCAAUGACGAGUAGGUUGAAUCUCUCCUAGCGGCACCAUUGCUCACCACAACUGGUUUGCUUGAGCAACUUAAUGUCACUCUCAAGAGGGACCACCCUUCGACUGACACCUUGAAGCACCACAUAAGCUUUAGAAAGUUGGAAUUGUACUUCGUAUACAUAAAUUACCAUGAUAUUAUAUGUUCCUGUAAUUCUAUGUUGAUUCUUUAGAAAUAAUAUAUACGAUAUUGUAAUGUUUGUUCGACAUCAGUUGAUUUUAUUUGAGUUGACGUAUUUAUAAUAAUAUUAUAUAUUUAUAUUGUCA
Zea mays is the source of this 754-nucleotide long non-coding RNA. RefSeq lists it as uncharacterized. The transcript has 2 exons. The record is from RefSeq and is a predicted model, not a curated record. NCBI's taxonomy places the organism in Eukaryota, Viridiplantae, Streptophyta, Magnoliopsida, Poales, Poaceae.